AAUUCCCAAUAGGUCAGUCAAGUUGGAAUGCUGACUGAUUUAAAACGUGCACAUCAUGUUGUGUAACGGCCUUUUGAUGAGUCUGCGUCCGAUUAGCUAGUAGGUGGGGUUAUGGCCCACCUAGGCGAGGAUCGGUAAGGGCAGUGAGAGCUGUAGCCCUAAGAUGGCCACUGAGACAACGGGCCAGGCCCUACGGGGUGCAGCAGGUACGAAACCUCACCAAUGCACGAAAGUGUGAGUGGGCUAACCUCAGUGCCAGGCGUCGUCCUGGCUUUUCCCAAGCGUACAUAACUUGGGGAAUAAGGAGAGGACAAGACUGGUGCCAGCCCCCGCGGUAAAACCAGCUCUUCGAAUGGUAAGCAUGAUUAUUGGGCCUAAAGCGUGCGUAGCCUGCUUGCAAGUCUCCAGAUAAAGCUCACGUCUUAAGCGUGAAAUCCCUGGGGAUACUACAGGCCUUGGACUGGGACAGGGCGAGGGUACGUGUCCGGUAGGGGUGAAUCCUAUAAUCGAACACGACCACCGGUGGCGAAGCGCCUCGCCUGGAACAGUCCGACGUGAGGCACGAAAGCCAGGGUAGCGAGCCGGAUUAGAUACCCGGGUAGUCCUGGCUGUAAACGAUGCGGAUUAGGUGUUGCGGUACACACGAAGUAUCGCAGUGCCGAAGCGAAGGCGUUAAAUCUGCCGCCUGGGAAGUACGCUCGCAAGGGUGAAACUUAAAGGAAUUGGCGGGGGAGCACCACAAGGGGUGGAGCGUGCGGUUUAAUUGGACUCAACGCCGGAAAGCUUACCUGGGCAGACAGCAUCAUGAUUGUCAGGUUGAAGGCCUUACAUGAAUAGCUGAGAGGAGGUGCAUGGCCGUCGCCAGCUCGUGCCGUGAUCCUCUAGCGUGGAGAUCUAUCAUCGUUGCCAGAGGACGGUAAAGGUGUCCUGUUAAGUCAGGCAACGAGCGAGACCGGAGCCCUUAGUUGCCAGCGAUAACUGCGGUUAGUCGGGUACACUAAGGGGACCGCCAGUGAUGAAACUGGAGGAAGGAUCCGUCCACGGCAGGUCAGUAUGCCCCGAUAGCUCAGGGCCACACGCGGGCUACAAUGGCACGGACAAUAGGUUCCGACAUCGAAAGAUGGAGGUAAUCCCGAAACCGUGUCCCAGUUGGGAUUGUGGGUUGGAACCCACCCACAUGAACUUGGAAUCCCUAGUAGUCGCAUGUCAUCAUCGUGCGGCGAAUACGUCCCUGCUCCUUGCACACACCGCCCGUCGCAGCAUGCGAGGCGGGUUGGCCUGAGAUGGCUGCUUUGUGUGGUCCUCGAGGGUUAAUUCGCUGAGCAGGCUGAAGUCGUAACAAGGUAGCCGUA
Molecule: ribosomal RNA, 1352 nt
Filed under: uncultured archaeon
Lineage: Archaea
Description: 16S ribosomal RNA
Rfam family: Archaeal small subunit ribosomal RNA
Source: RNAcentral